Molecule: long non-coding RNA, 1222 nt
Organism: Erinaceus europaeus (western European hedgehog)
Lineage: Eukaryota; Metazoa; Chordata; Mammalia; Eulipotyphla; Erinaceidae
Exons: 2
Source: RefSeq, a predicted model, not a curated record
CUUUUGUUAUUCUUACACUGAUUUCUUACACUUUUUUGUGCUGCUAUUCCUGUAGUAGUCCCUGUUGAGAAACAUGGGCAUGUGCAUCAUUUCACCAUUCAAUAUUUUCUCCACUCAUCAAUAUUUUUUGUGUUAUCUCCCUAUUACUAUUAGUAAGCAAGGCAGAUAUAGAUGGAGAAUAAUGAUUAAUGACAUGUUUUAGGAAAUUACCUUUUACUCACCUUCAUUGAUGUGCAUAGACAUAGAUUCUAUGAGGCUCCUAGUUUUAAUGCCCAGCUCCUCUAACAUUCAGAACUGAGUAGUAUUUCAUCCCAGAGGAAGGAAGCAAGAUAUUCUGUGUGGCUGUAGUUUAUAUCUGGUGGGAUUCACUGUCUUCAACUGUAUGUUCUCUCAUAUUUAUAUAUGUAGGACAUAUAAAUGCACCCAAUUUCACACACCCAUGUAGGAGAAAGAGGAAUUAUUGCACUGAUGAGAUACUUGUGAUGUCCUCUUUCAUGUUUUGCUUCUUUGUUUUCCUUGUUUAUAUACCAGCUCAGAAUCAAAGGAGGGACUCACCCCAUGCAAGAAUUGAGAUGUUAAAUAUGGAGUCACCAUCUCUGUCCUAAAUUUUUGAAUAGUUACACACUUAUACUGCUGUAAACUUUAAAGAUUCAUCCAACUAUUUCUAAUUGCAGAAUAGUAAUCAUUUCUGUGUAUAGCAUAGGGAAUGUUUAUAGUCCCAGAGAAAAUUGGAACCUGUCAUUUUCCUGUUAGCUGAAAGUCAUCUAUGCUUUCCUUAGGAUACUGGUUUUUCUGCAAGUCUAAGAAAGAUACUGGAUACAAACCAAAAGCUAAACAGUGAAAAUGCUACUCUACAGCGAGACAUUGGCACAUUUCAAAAUGAGGUUUUCAUACUACAAGAGGAUAUUAACAGACGGAAAAGGAAAAUGAAUGAGACAAUAAAAUACAUGGAACAUCAAACAAUGUCAGUAAGAGAAGUGACAGAAGAGUUGCUAACAAAUAUACAAAAUGUAAAGUAUUCCAGAUUUCACAGAAUUCAUUCACAACCUAAUGCUGAGGCCUGAUCUCAAGCAAGACACAGUAUUCAGUGAUAGAAUGGAGGCCUGGGGGUUGUAUUCAAAAAGUUCCAGGUUUGGCCCUGAUACGAUGUGUAAAGUAUGUGUAAAGUAUACUCUGCAGUUCAUUUAAAAUAAAGUCAAUUAAUUUUUUAUUGCUUCUUCAA